This 346-nucleotide long non-coding RNA is filed under the name Felis catus (domestic cat). Its description in RNAcentral is "lncRNA (ENSFCAG00000044018.2)". The record is from RNAcentral. Lineage: Eukaryota; Metazoa; Chordata; Mammalia; Carnivora; Felidae.
AAGCCUUGUGGGCUGUUGGGGAAACUGUGUCCUAGAGAAAAAUGUAGAUUUCCUCUUCCCAGUUUCCCGGGGUGUGGUGAGCCCAGCCUCCUGAGUUGGGAGGGGCAGGCUUCCAGAAGCUUCCAUCCUGGCCACACAAAAAUCAAGAGACUGGAGCAGGACGCAGCCCUCUAAGGAACUCUGAGGAUUCACCGAACACUCGAGAGGAAGUGGUGCCCACGCUAAUGUGCUCGGAGGCACUUUUCUCUCUGUUCGUCCAUCAAAUUUCAGAUGUGGGAGCAGCAUCUAGAGGAUGAACCUGGAUUCAAAUCCUGGCUCCACCCUUUCUCAGCCACGUAACCAUGCC